CGAUGGACAGCUUCACCCUCCCAAUCAAAGAGUUAUUGCAAGAUGAAAACCUCACUAAGGACAAUAGUGUUAGCUGCUGCACAAGCAAUAGAAGCAACAUCACCAUAGACAUCAUCAACAACAAAAACAACAACAUAGAGAGCAACAAUAUAGGAACAAAGGGUGAAGGUAAUAAAAAGACCAAACAUGUUUUUUCAUUGUUUGGUUUAACAAAAGGACCAAAAGGGUAUGAAGAUAAAGAUAAGGUAGAUAAGGAGAACAACAAAAAGAAGCUCAAGUUUGAUAUGAUUCAUACACUAAAAAAGUACUUAAGAAUUGUGCUUUUCAAAGGGGCAAGAGAAAAAGUUAGACUCCAUAGACAAUCACAAUCUUAUUCUUAUUCAGGGAAUGUAACUCCAAGGAAUAAACAAGAUUUGAGAGGUUGGAGGGGGAAAUUUUCAGCACCAGCAUCAAUGAGAACUUCUCCUACAAACAGUGGACUUUUGCUUGCAACUUCAGGUAUUCCUUCUGCUAGUGAUAGUACCAUGGAAGAGUUGCAGGCUGCUAUUCAAGCUGCAAUUACUCACUGCAAAAAUUCAAUUGCAAAAGAAGAAAAGCUCAAAUGCUAAUAUAUAGUUGUCAGGUUCGCAAUACUCUUAGUUACUGGUUAUGCAAUUCAUUACAUUUUACCACAUAGCGAUAAGUGCUUUUUACAUUGUCGAAUAUCAUAAAUUGGUUCAUGAUGCACGAUAUAGCUACGAGGGACGCUAUUCGUUUGGUACACGGUUC
RNAcentral lists this long non-coding RNA (768 nucleotides) under Lupinus angustifolius (narrow-leaved blue lupine). RNAcentral describes it as "long non-coding RNA (LANG_LNC003173)". The record is from RNAcentral. Lineage: Eukaryota; Viridiplantae; Streptophyta; Magnoliopsida; Fabales; Fabaceae.